This is a long non-coding RNA of Ostrinia furnacalis (Asian corn borer), 994 nucleotides long. RefSeq lists it as uncharacterized. The transcript is spliced from 2 exons. The record is from RefSeq and is a predicted model, not a curated record. Lineage: Eukaryota; Metazoa; Arthropoda; Insecta; Lepidoptera; Crambidae.
GGGUCGAUCAACUUUUUAACCGACAUAAGCUUGUCCCGACGAUAUCGCAUUCAAAAACGACUAAAUUAAGAUAAUUUAAAAAUUAUUUUUAAGUUCCAUUCAAUUAACAGUUCAGAAACCUUAAUAAUAAACAUAUGAAAUCUAGAUAAUAUAAAGAAAUAAACAUUAAAACUAUGGUAACUCAGCAUACGACUUCUUGCCUUCCAUACAAAUUACAGCUGUCCCCAGAGCGAGGUGGCUAUAUGUAAUUUCUAAUGUAAGAAAAAUUUUCCUUUAAGAGUAUUCAAGUCAGCUAAUAAAUUGCUUAUAAAUUAAACAAGGUUUAGUUUGUACUUUGUAAAAUAUAAAAAUAUGUUAUGAUUUUAAAGAAAAAAGUCCCUAAAAUUGUGUCCCGAAUUCAUCCCAUUUUGUAGUGUAUGCAGAGUUACCGCGUAAAAAAUAAACAAACAUUAUGCUACACGUCACAAAUUUCUAAUGAAGAACAGCGGUACAACCUUUGUUUUUGGCCGCGCGGCGGCGAGCCUUUGAUUGCAGCCGCCGCGCGGCCAGGCCGCGGCAAGCUAUCGAUGAGUGCGCGUGUGUUUAUUCAGUGUCGGCGGAGUUACCGGAUUAUUUCGAUGAACAGAUUGUAAACUCACUAAUAAUGGCGUUAACGGCGGCCGAAAAGCAGAAAAGGUUCCGUGAAAAAUUAAAAAAAAAUCCCGAAAAAUAUGAGGAGGCGAAACGAUGUCCUUAAAUUUAUGAGCCGUUUUUGUGAGGUAACAAUAUGUGAUUGAUUUUAUUUGAAUGAUUAUUUUAUGGUAACAGUAAAAGAUGAUUAAUUACUUCAAUUUCAGAGAAAAGUGUGAUUUUAUUUUAAGUUUUUAAAUAAGUACAGAGAAAAUUAACAAUAUGUAUGACUCGUUAGUAACUCAGCAUACAUAUUUCUCAUAUUUUAAGGCCUAAGUUUUAAAAUUAUAUACAAAUGCUGUAUACCAAACUAUUUGAUUUUGCA